RNAcentral lists this ribosomal RNA (253 nucleotides) under uncultured bacterium. RNAcentral's name for it is "partial 16S ribosomal RNA". It matches the Rfam family "Bacterial small subunit ribosomal RNA", at positions 524 to 776 of the family's 1533-position model. The record is from RNAcentral.
UACGGGGGGGGCAAGCGUUGUUCGGAAUUACUGGGCGUAAAGGGCUCGUAGGCGGCCAACUAAGUCAGACGUGAAAUCCCCAGGCUCAACCUGGGAACUGCGUCUGAUACUGGAUGGCUUGAAUCCGGGAGAGGGAUGCAGAAUUCCUGGUGUAGCGGUGAAAUGCGCAGAUAUCAGGAAGAACACCCGUGGCGAAGGCGGCUCUCUGGGACGGUACUGACGCUGAGACGCGAAAGCGUGGGGAGCGAACAGG